UACGAAAAAAAUUUAUAAGUUUAGUGUGAAUUUUGGUGGUAAAAUGCAUAAAAAGUAUGGUUGAAGAUUUUGAAGUAACCGCCACAUACGAUUUAGUAAUACCGUUUGUUGAGUAGUGUUAACUGCAUGAUUUUUUUGCCUUGUGAAGAAAUAUGCUUCAAUUAAGUUGCAUUCGAGAAUUUGAAAACUGUAAUUCUAAAGUUUGGUUUGUCUGUUGGAAUCCUUCUGGGACGAUAUUAGCUUCCUGUGGUUCUGAUAAGAAAAUACGAUUAUGGGAAAAAAGUAUUAUAUUUUAUUUUAAUUGAAAGAAGAUUGAUGAAGAUGCUGAGCGAUAAUAUAGUUUCUCCUUCAGAUUCUCAAAAUGAAUUUCGGUGCAUACAAACUUUAGAAAAUGGACACAUAAGGACGAUUAGAAGUCUUGCUUGGUCUCCAUGUGGUAAAUAUUUAGCGUCAGCAAGUUUUGAUGCAACAACUUGUAUUUGGAGUGAAGCCAAAGAUUGGGAUUGUAUAGGUACCUUAGAAGGACAUGAAAAUGAAGUUAAAAGUGUUUCUUGGGCCGCCACUGGGAAAUACCUUGCAACAUGCAGCAGAGACAAAAGCGUAUGGGUGUGGGAAUGUAAGAAACUUCAUUUCUUCGAAAAGCUUAUACAUAUUUCUUUAUUUCUCAGUUGAUGAUGAGGAAAACUUUGAAUGUGCUUCUGUGAUGAAUUCUCAUUCACAAGAUGUAAAAUGUAUAAAAUGGAAUCCAAAGUUUGAGAUAUUUGCCUCUAGCAGCUAUGACAAUAGUAUAAAGCUUUAUCGAAAAGGAGCCGAUGAUUGGCUACCAUUUUGUACUUUGGAAGGACACACUUCAACUGUAUGGUCCAUAUCCUGGUCAGGCGAUGGUAAAUAUUUGGUGUCCUGUAGUGACGACAGAAGCUUGAAAAUUUGGAAAGAAGUAGAACCUGAUAUCUGGACAUGUAUUUCCAACUUACCUCAAAGUCAUAGUCGACCAAUUUAUUGUGUUGAUUGGAAACAUAAAUCGCAACUAAUAUCAACUGCUUGCGGAGACGAUUCUGUAAAAGUUUUCAAAGUUCAGGAAUUUUCUAAUGAAAACGCCGAAUUAGUUUUAAAUUUGCAAAGCAAUCAAAUUCGGGCACAUGACGAAGAUGUCAAUUGUGUUGCAUGGCAUCCAAAUGAAGACUUGUUAGCGAGUUGUAGUGAUGAUGGAUCUAUAAAAUUAUGGAAAAUUAGCUAAUAAAUUCUCCCCUAAUUGCUAAUGAUUUCUAAAUAUUACUCGAUUGAUUUUAAAUAAUAGAUUUAUU
This 1304-nucleotide unclassified non-coding RNA is filed under the name Dimorphilus gyrociliatus. Its description in RNAcentral is "probable cytosolic iron-sulfur protein assembly protein CIAO1 homolog". The record is from RNAcentral. Lineage: Eukaryota; Metazoa; Annelida; Polychaeta; Dinophilidae.